ACGAACGCUGGCGGCGUGCUUCACACAUGCAAGUCGAACGGAAAGGCCCUGCUUUUGUGGGGUGCUCGAGUGGCGAACGGGGGAGUAACACGUGAGUAACCUGCCCUUGACUUUGGGAUAACUUCAGGAAACUGGGGCUAAUACCGGAUAGGAGCUCCUGCUGCAUGGUGGGGGUUGGAAAGGUUCGGCGGUUGGGGAUGGACUCGCGGCUUAUCAGCUUGGUGGUGGGGUAGUGGCUUACCAAGGCUUUGACGGGUAGCCGGCCUGAGAGGGUGACCGGCCACAUUGGGACUGAGAUACGGCCCAGACUCCUACGGGAGGCAGCAGUGGGGAAUAUUGCACAAUGGGCGGAAGCCUGAUGCAGCAACGCCGCGUGCGGGAUGACGGCCUUCGGGUUGUAAACCGCUUUCGCCUGUGACGAAGCGUGAGUGACGGUAAUGGGUAAAGAAGCACCGGCUAACUACGUG
Molecule: ribosomal RNA, 467 nt
Filed under: uncultured bacterium
Lineage: Bacteria
Description: partial 16S ribosomal RNA
Rfam family: Bacterial small subunit ribosomal RNA
Source: RNAcentral